CGUAUCACUUAAAGCGAUUCAGCGGGUUACGAUUGACGGAGCGAAGCGACGUCAAAGCGUAUACAAAGUCGAGUCGGUUUAAGGAUACGUUCGUUGGGUAGGGGAGCGUUCUGUAAGCCUGCGAAGGUGGCCUGUGAGGGUUGCUGGAGGUAUCAGAAGUGCGAAUGCUGACAUAAGUAACGAUAAAGCGGGUGAAAAGCCCGCUCGCCGGAAGACCAAGGGUUCCUGUCCAACGUUAAUCGGGGCAGGGUGAGUCGACCCCUAAGGCGAGGCCGAAAGGCGUAGUCGAUGGGAAACGGGUUAAUAUUCCCGUACUUGGUGUUACUGCGAAGGGGGGACGGAGAAGGCUAUGUUGGCCGGGCGACGGUUGUCCCGGUUUAAGCGUGUAGGUGUGUGUUCCAGGUAAAUCCGGUUCACUUUAACACUGAGGCGUGA
Molecule: ribosomal RNA, 435 nt
Filed under: Salmonella enterica subsp. enterica serovar Infantis
Lineage: Bacteria; Pseudomonadati; Pseudomonadota; Gammaproteobacteria; Enterobacterales; Enterobacteriaceae
Also listed under: 2 other names
Description: partial 23S ribosomal RNA
Rfam family: Bacterial large subunit ribosomal RNA
Source: RNAcentral